RNAcentral lists this ribosomal RNA (468 nucleotides) under uncultured bacterium. RNAcentral's name for it is "partial 16S ribosomal RNA". It matches the Rfam family "Bacterial small subunit ribosomal RNA", at positions 28 to 507 of the family's 1533-position model. The record is from RNAcentral.
GACGAACGCUGGCGGCGUGCUUAACACAUGCAAGUCGAACGGAAAGGCCCUGCUUUUGUGGGGUGCUCGAGUGGCGAACGGGUGAGUAACACGUGAGUAACCUGCCCUUGACUUUGGGAUAACUUCAGGAAACUGGGGCUAAUACCGGAUAGGAGCUCCUGCUGCAUGGUGGGGGUUGGAAAGUUUCGGCGGUUGGGGAUGGACUCGCGGCUUAUCAGCUUGUUGGUGGGGUAGUGGCUUACCAAGGCUUUGACGGGUAGCCGGCCUGAGAGGGUGACCGGCCACAUUGGGACUGAGAUACGGCCCAGACUCCUACGGGAGGCAGCAGUGGGGGAUAUUGCACAAUGGGCAGAAGCCUGAUGCAGCAACGCCGCGUGCGGGAUGACGGCCUUCGGGUUGUAAACCGCUUUCGCCUGUGACGAAGCGUGAGUGACGGUAAUGGGUAAAGAAGCACCGGCUAACUACGUG